GAUGAAGAACGCAGCGAAAUGCGAUAAGUAAUGUGAAUUGCAGAAUUCAGUGAAUCAUCGAAUCUUUGAACGCACCUUGCGCUCCUUGGUAUUCCAAGGAGCAUGCCUGUUUGAGUAUCAUUAAAUUAUCAACUGUGCCAAUUUGGUUACAGAUUGGAUGUGGGAGAUUCUUUUUGCAGGCCUUUGACUUCUCUUUGAGAAAAAAAUAAAAGGUCGGCUCUCCUGAAAUGUAUUAGCAGUGCCUUUGUUGGUUCAUUAGGUGUGAUAAAUUGUCUACAUCUUCACAUGAUACCUUCAUUUGUAAGGUUAUAUUGCUUCUAAAUUGUCUUUGAUUGGACGCAAAACAUAUAUAAUGUUUGACAAACUUGAUCUCAAAUCAGGCAGGACUACCCGCUGAACUUAAGCAUAUCAAUAAGCGGAGGA
RNAcentral lists this unclassified non-coding RNA (423 nucleotides) under soil metagenome. RNAcentral describes it as "partial contains 5.8S ribosomal RNA, internal transcribed spacer 2, and large subunit ribosomal RNA". The stretch from base 1 to 120 matches the Rfam family "5.8S ribosomal RNA", at positions 35 to 154 of the family's 154-position model. The record is from RNAcentral.